GGAAUUUUGGACAAUGGGCGCAAGCCUGAUCCAGCAAUGCCGCGUGAGUGAAGAAGGCCUUCGGGUUGUAAAGCUCUUUUGUCAGGGAAGAAACGGGUCUUUCUAAUACAGAGGCCUAAUGACGGUACCUGAAGAAUAAGCACCGGCUAACUACGUGCCAGCAGCCGCGGUAAUACGUAGGGUGCAAGCGUUAAUCGGAAUUACUGGGCGUAAAGCGUGCGCAGGCGGUUUUGUAAGUCUGUUGUGAAAUCCCCGGGCUCAACCUGGGAAUGGCAAUGGAGACUGCAAGGCUAGAGUUUGGCAGAGGGGGGUAGAAUUCCACGUGUAGCAGUGAAAUGCGUAGAUAUGUGGAGGAACACCGAUGGCGAAGGCAGCCCCCUGGGUCAAAACUGACGCUCAUGCACGAAAGCGUGGGGAGCAAACAGGAUUAGAUACCCUAG
RNAcentral lists this ribosomal RNA (440 nucleotides) under uncultured Duganella sp. Its description in RNAcentral is "bacterial SSU rRNA". It matches the Rfam family "Bacterial small subunit ribosomal RNA", at positions 358 to 790 of the family's 1533-position model. Lineage: Bacteria; Pseudomonadati; Pseudomonadota; Betaproteobacteria; Burkholderiales; Oxalobacteraceae. The record is from RNAcentral.